RNAcentral lists this ribosomal RNA (529 nucleotides) under uncultured bacterium. RNAcentral's name for it is "bacterial SSU rRNA". It matches the Rfam family "Bacterial small subunit ribosomal RNA", at positions 981 to 1509 of the family's 1533-position model. The record is from RNAcentral.
UUGACAUCCAGAGAAUUUAGCAGAAAUGCUUUAGUGCCUUCGGGAACUCUGAGACAGGUGCUGCAUGGCUGUCGUCAGCUCGUGUUGUGAAAUGUUGGGUUAAGUCCCGNAACGAGCGCAACCCUUAUCCUUUGUUGCCAGCACGUAAUGGUGGGAACUCAAAGGAGACUGCCGGUGAUAAACCGGAGGAAGGUGGGGAUGACGUCAAGUCAUCAUGGCCCUUACGAGUAGGGCUACACACGUGCUACAAUGGCGCAUACAAAGAGAAGCGACCUCGCGAGAGCAAGCGGACCUCAUAAAGUGCGUCGUAGUCCGGAUUGGAGUCUGCAACUCGACUCCAUGAAGUCGGAAUCGCUAGUAAUCGUAAAUCAGAAUGUUACGGUGAAUACGUUCCCGGGCCUUGUACACACCGCCCGUCACACCAUGGGAGUGGGUUGCAAAAGAAGUAGAUAGCUUAACCUUCGGGAGGGCGUUUACCACUUUGUGAUUCAUGACUGGGGUGAAGUCGUAACAAGGUAAGCGUAGUGCU